CUAACGGGACUGCCCGCGAAAGCGGGAGGAAGAGGGGACGACGUCUGGUCAGCAUGGCCCUUACGGCCUGGGCGACACACGUGCUACAAUGCCCACUACAAAGCGAGGCCACCCGGCAACGGGGAGCUAAUCGCAAAAAGGUGGGCCCAGUUCGGAUUGGGGUCUGCAACCCGACCCCAUGAAGCCGGAAUCGCUAGUAAUCGCGGAUCAGCCAUGCCGCGGUGAAUACGUUUCCGGGCCUU
This 242-nucleotide ribosomal RNA is filed under the name uncultured Thermus sp. RNAcentral's name for it is "partial 16S ribosomal RNA". It matches the Rfam family "Bacterial small subunit ribosomal RNA", at positions 1140 to 1382 of the family's 1533-position model. Lineage: Bacteria; Thermotogati; Deinococcota; Deinococci; Thermales; Thermaceae. The record is from RNAcentral.